Molecule: ribosomal RNA, 427 nt
Filed under: Pleistophora sp. 2
Lineage: Eukaryota; Fungi; Microsporidia; Pleistophoridae
Description: LSU rRNA
Rfam family: Archaeal large subunit ribosomal RNA
Source: RNAcentral
CCCUGCGCAAGGGAUCUUUUGGCUCGCUGUGCGAUGAAGGGCGCGGCGGCAAGCGAUAUGUGGCGGAGCGGCAGCAACGAUGCCACGUGCCCGAACGUGCGCAAGCAGGAUAACCCCUUGGAAUUAAGCAUAUGAGUAGAGGGAGGAAAAGAAACUAACAAGGAUUCCCGUAGUAGCGGCGAGCGAAGAGGGAAGAGCCCAGAGUGUAAUCGCGUGUUAUCAUGCGAGAUGUCGACAGCCGAGAGAACCGAUCUGGAAAGACGGGCCGCAGAGGGUGAUAGCCCGUAACCGGCGACAGCGAGGGAGUAGCAGUGUUCGGUAUUGCACUGUGAACGGGUGGCAGCGUCCAUCCAAUUGUAAAUACGGCAGCGAGACCGAUAGUGGAUAAGUAGAGUGAUCGAAGAAGGAAUAGACUGAAAAGGUGAAA